Non-coding RNA from Anas platyrhynchos (mallard), 2368 nucleotides. The record is from RefSeq and is a predicted model, not a curated record. NCBI's taxonomy places the organism in Eukaryota, Metazoa, Chordata, Aves, Anseriformes, Anatidae.
CGAACCUUGGAAGAGAAACAAAAGCCUGCAAUAAGCUGUAUUCUCGCUUACCCUGUAGCAUGCUGACUGGGAACAAGGAGAGUUGCCACGCUGACAUAUACGGCCCAAAAUUGGGUUUGCCACGUACAGAGAUGUUAAAGGAAGCUUUUCACUGCUUCCCUCGCGGGCUGCCACUGCGCUGUGCCCUCCGUGAGCGCUCUGCCGCUUAUCGGCACGGGUAUAAAAAUGUCCUUUGGACAAGAGGCAGCACAGGUAAGCUCUGGAGAAAUCAAGGCAGGAAAAGCAGAUAAAAAGCUAGCAAUAUUUCUGUCACUAGCUCACAGACAGGUUUAUUCUAACAAUUUCCACCUUGGCGAGCUCCAGGUCGCUAAAACAGCAUCUGGAGCAACGAGGUAAGGUGCAUAAAAAGCUGACACAAAAUUCAGUGAUCUCACAGAAAUUCACAAACUUCCUCUACUUCUGUGCAUCGAGCGGAGAGCUCAUGCUCAGGCUGAGCUCUCUUCGGCUUCACUCACACUUGCUCAGUUCCAGUGCUAAAUCCUGCUAAAUAAUAAAGAAAAGGAAAUGCACAGCGUGUAAGAUAAAGACUGGGCAAUGCAAGGCUGCUCUUUUGAUGCAUGACCGUUCCCCCUUACCCUGGCAGGGAACGUUUGCCAUUUGUUUCAAUACAUCCGUGCCUGAUGUCACUUCAAAAGGAGCCGUGGAGGUGAGGGCAGUGUUCUCCCCGAGCAGGCAAAUAAAAGCGAGGGAAGCGCUGAGCCCACCAGCACUGCCUGCCCAGGCUGCGCGGUACCGCGGGGCUUGGGGGAACAGCUUGGAGAGCUCUCCUAAAGACCCCACUGAGGCGGUGUCACGUUCAGAGGAACAUCCUCGUUAUUCUCCUGCAGCAGCAGAAGCUGCAGGGGACCCGGGGGACGGACAGGGAGGGAGGGAGCAGAGCAUCCAGCGGCCUCCCGGACAUCUUCACCUACGGCAGCGGGCAGGAGGCCGAUGUUACCCGCUCCGUUUGUGCCGGGUGGUUUGCUGGGGGAUGGAUUUUUUUUCAUUUCUAUUUGUUUACUUAUUUAUUUUUCAGGAAGUAUUUAUCUUCUGACACUUUUCUCCUUGUUUUAUUUACAAACAAAAUCUCUCUGCUGAAAAAUCUCUUGCCCCCAGGAGAUCUCUUUGUGUUUUUUUUUUUUUUUGCUAGGAGAAAAAUUAAUGCAGAAAGUGCAGACGGAUGAGACUGCCUUUUCCCAUACCUGCCACUAAUUCAUAGGGCACAUUCCCCUUACCCUGUCAUAUUUUUUACCAGUGUUGUUUGCAAAGUGCUGUUCUCUCUGAUAGUACAUCUUAAAACAUCUGUUUUUAUCCCCUGAAGUUUCCCUCUUCAAUUUUGCAUCCCGAUUCUCUUAAAAAAACUGCAGCCAACUCUUCACACAACGCAUCUCCUUUCGGUAAGGUGCUCGCCUCUGUGCCUGCCUUCAGACUGGGAGCGAGACGUCUCCAUGCAGCGCGGGACACUCUGGAGGACAAAGCAAACCCAGCUCCUAGAUCUGUGCCCAGGCUGACCUACAUCACAAGGUGGGAGAGCUGCUUUUUAUUUUGGGGGAAACCCUGCUUCUCACACGACCUGGGGCUCUGUGCCACUGCAAACAUUUCACAGAGGAGCCACCAGAAGAAGAGAGACCACAGAAAGAUCCCAAACAAAAACCCCGAGGUGUUUUCCCAGCCACACUUCUACUGCCACGCAGAACAAGAGCUCUGCCUAGUCCCGCACUCUGCCUCCCUCUGCACGACGAGCAGCCCAGCUGCCUGGGGGACAGCAUAAAGCCAGGACGAGCUUGUGGAAGGAUGUUCCUCCAGGCUAUUUUUCAGCCUGAGAACUUACGGACCUAAAGGAAUGCUUCGUCUAAAUGCGUUACAGUCCCAGUGGCAGAGCAGGCCUUUGACAAGAACAUGAUGAACUAAGCACACUCUGCUGGCCCGAAUUUCGGGGGCUGCUUCAGCUCUGUGGCUUCCAUGACAUGGUCAGUGAUGGUCUCAAAGGACAGACUUGGCAUUGUACCCUGGCAGGACACUUAGCCUAGCUACAAAGGGGUCAUGGCAACUGUUCAUCUUGACUGUGUUUUCUGCCCUCCAAAGCACUCCGAAUGUCACAGUCACCAUCACCAUUGUGGUCAGUCCACGGAUAAUUUGGGCCUAAUGCAGCAUUUUCCUAUUUAAGCCUAAAACUGAAAUUUGAGUUACUGGGAGGGCUAUUCUAUUGAUCUGAUUUGAUUCCAAGCUUUCUUUAGCACAAGGCACCACUAUCGCACCACUACUUGACUUUGUCUUUUAUGAACAUUGUGUUCCUCAGUCGUACAGUGCUCCAUGACCCUCCCUCUUC